RNAcentral lists this ribosomal RNA (460 nucleotides) under uncultured bacterium. RNAcentral's name for it is "partial 16S ribosomal RNA". It matches the Rfam family "Bacterial small subunit ribosomal RNA", at positions 338 to 795 of the family's 1533-position model. The record is from RNAcentral.
CCUACGGGAGGCAGCAGUGAGGAAUAUUCGUCAAUGGACGCGAGUCUGAACCAGCCAAGUCGCGUGAAGGAUGACUGCCCUAUGGGUUGUAAACUUCUUUUAUAUGGGAAUAAAAUGUUCCACGGAUGGGAUUUUGUAUGUACCAUAUGAAUAAGGAUAGGCUAACUCAGGGCCAGCAGCCGCGGUAAUACGGAGGGUCCGAGCGUUGUCCGGAUUUAUUGGGUUUAAAGGGAGCGUAGGUGGACUGUUGAGUCAGUUGUGAAAGUUUGCGGCUCAACCGUAAAAUUGCAGUUGAAACUGGCAGUCUUGAGUACAGUAGAGGUCGGCGGAAUUCGUGGUGUAGCGGUGAAAUGCUUAGAUAUCACGAAGAACUCCGAUUGCGAAGGCAGUUCACUGGACUGCAACUGACACUGAGGCUCGAAAGUGUGGGUAUCAAACAGGAUUAGAUACCCUUGUAGUC